Halichondria panicea is the source of this 1160-nucleotide long non-coding RNA. RefSeq lists it as uncharacterized. The transcript is spliced from 4 exons. The record is from RefSeq and is a predicted model, not a curated record. NCBI's taxonomy places the organism in Eukaryota, Metazoa, Porifera, Demospongiae, Suberitida, Halichondriidae.
UCUGAGUUAAUUCUUAUUAAAGAUUCUAACUGCCUCCAUGAUCCACUGCACCUAGCUAUUAAAUGACUACCGCUACCCGUACCCCUGUUCAUGUUACUGACAGGGAGUGUUUAUUUUCCUAUGCUUGUUUUGUAUGUGUCUAUUUAAUGUAGUUUACCCUGCAGGACUUUUGAUGGAAUAUUUUUAUUCCUAGAGGCCCUAUAAAGUGAUAGUUGCUAGAUUAGAAGAAGUUCAUGGAGUCAAAAGGAGAAAGAAUUGAGAAACUCUAGUGGGAGUUUCGGCUAUCGUGCUAUGUGGAAGAAUCUGCGGGUAUUGUGUGGACCCUCCGGCACUGUUGUAUCCUUUCAUGGUCGGUGGCUCGCUCUAUGAUAAUCUCCACAAGUUCAAGGUAUCCAACCCUUUGACUAUGGAAGCGAGGCUGUCCAUCCUGAUAGAUGUUUUCACAGACUAGCGGAUACGAAGGCAACACCUGUUAGCCAGGCAUUUUCAUCACAGCUGCUGACACUUAUUAACUCAACAACAAACGGAUACCAUCUAAAAGACCUCAGAUCGCUACUGUUCUCCAUACCCUUACAACGAUGCACAAGGAAAUGUGAUAUAAAAUAAAACCCUAAAACUAAAACUGUUACAUAUUGCUCACAUCAAUUUCAUUGCUAUUUUAUUUUCCCCCUAGUUGUACGUACCAUCACUGAUUAACAUCAUAUAAUCAUCACUCAUUCAAAGAAAAAGUGGUGCUUUUUUUUUUGGCUUUUUAAUUGAUUGUUGCCCUCUAUUGAACCAUUCUAAUUAUUGCUCUUUAUUCACGUAUUUGUUGCCCUUCUAACUAAAAUGUACAUACGUAUGGAUCUUACACAUUUUGAUCAUUAAUUUUUUCAAGCAAUAAUACAGAAUCAUGCAUGAAGUUGCAAUCAAUAAAUAAACUCUAGAAAAAUUACUCACUUGCUUACUUACUACUCAGAUAACUAGUAAGUCAGUCAGACAAGUGCGGUGAAAUUGAACACUCUCUCUUCAGUAUCUUGCCUUGCUAUGACUGCCAAAGGUCCUUUUCGUCUCAGCGAGGGUUCCAAAUGCAUUGGGAGAAGACAGAACAUUAUCCCGUGCCAGUUGAGUAUGCCGACUAUUACGGUGAAGUGGGUGAAGAUAGUGAAGAUGGUGAAGUG